UAUCAUAAGCACAAAAUAAGGGUUGAUAAGGGCAGUACAGUACUGUGAAAAUGUGACAAAUCUUCCUUUCAUAGUCACGUGAAUUGCUGCUUCAAAAUGGACAAGAACGACAAAGCUUUGAUCCUUCUCGUAUUAGUAUGAUAUAUCAUUUGACUUGUUUUACCAUUUUCUCUCGGUCAUUUCUUCACACGCUAUACCUUGAUAUAGGCUUUACAUUUUCAUCCUUCAUUUUUUGUUUAUUCUUGUGAUCUAUUUUCUUUGCAAUAUCUUCGUGCUUUUAUUUUUCUUACCGAGCAUUAAAACUGAUGCUAUUUAGUAUUGUUUAUCAGUCUAGUCACUGAGUCAUUGUACAUUCUGAAAGUAGAUGAAAAAAUCUCUAUAUUUUAUAAAAAAAAAAUCAUAUGAGAGUAAUACGUAAAAACUAACUAAUAAUAUUUCUAGCGAACAAGUAUAAUCCUACCGAGAGACGAAUAAGUCUUACGCGAGAUGAAUAUGAUUCGGAACUUCCGUAGUACACCACCAAUGCACAGAUAAACAAACGGGUCCGCCUCACGGCCAAGACGAACUGGUUUGUGAAUACCAAUCAGGAGAGACGUUUCACAAACCACCAAUCAGCAGCAGCAAUGGUACCUUAAAAAGUAUCUCAACAUUAACUAUAUUAAAAAAUAGAAAAGGAGGACAAAAAUUGAGACGAUUCUUCGUAAAGAGAUGAUUUCUAAGAAGAAACUUGUUGAAAGAUGCUUAGGUUCACUCUUAUGGUAAAUGGUUAAAUUCACCACAUUCUUAAUAACCAACCAAAAUAUGACGUGAAAUAGCUUAAAAAGACAAUAAAAAAAAAUUAAAUAUCUGAAAAAAAAACAACACCAACAUUAAUUAGCGCCAUCAGCAAAAUUCUAAAAACCUAAACUAUAAAACCAUAGACCCUAAAUCCAAAACACUAAACUAUAAACCUCAAUCCUAAAAUCUAAACCCUAAAUCUUAAACCCUAAAACCCAAACUCUACACAAUAAACCCUAAAUCCUAAAAUCUAAACCCUAAAGCCUAAACGCAAAACUCUAAACCCUAAACCCUAAAUCCUAAAUCCUAAACCCUAAAUCCAAAACUUUAAAUCUUAAACCCAAACCCUAAAUCAUAAACCCUAAAUCCUAAACCCUAAACCCAAAACUUUAAAUCUUAAACCCAAACUGUAACAGCCCGGUUCCUGGCCCAUAAAAAUUUCCUUGAGAAUAUGGGCUUCUCUACGGCCCAUAUGGCAAAGACCUAGGGUUCCCUUCCCCUUUCCUAUAAAAAGAGAUGCAGCCUCCUUUUGCCUCAUACAGAAACUAAAGCGAAGCUCUGCAGAGAAUUCCCGGAGACCAGAAACCCUAGCCGUC
RNAcentral lists this long non-coding RNA (1373 nucleotides) under Brassica napus (rape). RNAcentral's name for it is "long non-coding RNA (BNAP_LNC019032)". Lineage: Eukaryota; Viridiplantae; Streptophyta; Magnoliopsida; Brassicales; Brassicaceae. The record is from RNAcentral.